CCCUACGGGACGCAGCAGUGGGGGAUAUUGCACAAUGGGGGGAACCCUGAUGCAGCGACGCCGCGUGAGUGAAGAAGUAAUUCGUUAUGUAAAGCUCUAUCAGCAGGGAAGAAUAAAUGACGGUACCUGAGUAAGAAGCCCCGGCUAACUACGUGCCAGCAGCCGCGGUAAUACGUAGGUGGCAAGCGUUGUCCGGAAUUACUGGGUGUAAAGGGAGCGCAGGCGGGAAGCCAAGUCAGCUGUGAAAACUACGGGCUUAACUUGUAGACUGCAGUUGAAACUGGUUUUCUUGAGUGAAGUAGAGG
This 305-nucleotide ribosomal RNA is filed under the name uncultured bacterium. RNAcentral describes it as "bacterial SSU rRNA". It matches the Rfam family "Bacterial small subunit ribosomal RNA", at positions 337 to 657 of the family's 1533-position model. The record is from RNAcentral.